This is an RNA transcript of Gadus macrocephalus (Pacific cod), 4514 nucleotides long. It is a transcript of the gene named hephaestin-like 1b, with no coding region annotated. The transcript has 20 exons. The record is from RefSeq and is a predicted model, not a curated record. Lineage: Eukaryota; Metazoa; Chordata; Actinopteri; Gadiformes; Gadidae.
UGUAAACGUCCAGAAGUGCUGCAUGCCUGCGAUGUGCUGGGUUUGCCUUCGCUCGGGGAAGUUUUAGCCGGUAUCGGACGUCUCUCUGAAUCUAUGAUCUUAAAUCAAAAUGAUCUGAUAAUUAAGAAAUAUUUUUUAACAUUUUAACAUGACAGGUACAUUGGAGUUGUUCGUUUGUGUUUCGGUGUUGCUGCUUUCCCCCUGUGCGAGAGGUGCUCCAAGGGAGAGGGUGUACUACAUCGGGAUCAUUGAGGAUUUCUGGGACUAUGCGCCAAGUGGGAAAAACCUUAUAAACGGCAAAGAGAUUGCGGAUGAUGAAGUUUCAUCGAUAUACUUGGAGCAGGGGCCUAAUCGUAUCGGCAGGAUGUAUAAGAAGGCCAUGUUCCGUCAGUACACCGACGCCUCCCACACCCUGCAGGCCCAAAGGCCCGAGUGGCUUGGCUACCUGGGGCCCGUGAUCAUGGCCGAGGUGGACGAAGUCAUUGUGGUCCACCUCAGGAACAUGGCCUCCAGGAAUUACUCCAUCCACCCCCAUGGAGUGUUCUACACAAAGGAAAACGAGGGAGCUCUGUAUCCAGACCGGACCUCGGGGCGGAUGAAGCAUGACGACUCUGUCCCCCCAGGCGGUGACUACACCUACCGCUGGGAGGUGAGACCCGAGUUCGGCCCCACGCAGAACGACGCCAACUGCCUGACCUGGGCGUACCACUCCCACGUGGCCGCCCCCAUGGACAUCGCCUCGGGCCUGGUCGGGGCCCUGCUCACCUGCAAACGAGGUGUCCUUAAGGAGCAGGUGGAGUCACAGUCGAUGGAGCUGGGACGCAACGAUGUCGACCAAAGCUUCAUUCUGAUGUUCAACGUGGUGGAUGAGUCCUCUAGCUGGUACUUUGAGGACAACAUCAAGAACUUCUGCUCGGAGCCGGACACAGUGGACCGGUCGGACGGAGACUUUGAGGAGUCCAACCUGAUGCAUGCUAUUAACGGCUACAUGUUCGGCAACAUGCCCGACAUGACGCUGUGCCAGCACCGGCCGGUUUCCUGGCAUCUGUUUGGCAUGGGUGGCGAGGCGGACCUCCACUCCGCCUAUUUCCACGGCAACACAGUGUUGGAGCGAGGUCACCGCACCGACGUCCUCAGCCUGUUCGCCGCGACGUUCAUCACGGCACAGAUGGUUCCCUUGUCUCUGGGAAGGUGGCCGCUGAGCUGCCAGGUUAACGACCACCUCAUGGCUGGGAUGCAGACCUCCUAUACGGUGAAGGGGUGUGGAGAUGCAGGGGACUCCUCACAGCCGACCGGGGUUGUGAGACAGUACUAUGUGGCCGCAGAAGAGGUCACAUGGGACUAUGGUCCGUCGGGAUUAGAUAACAUCAACAUGAUAAACCUCACAAACAGCCAGAGUCCAUCAGAGCUCUACUUCGGACGGACUGCGGGUCGGAUCGGGGGCCGGUACUUGAAAGCGGUGUUCAGGGCCUACACUGACAGUACCUUCACCAGCAGGAAGCCCUCGGACAAACACAUGGGGAUUCUGGGUCCGGUCCUGCGGGGGGAGUUGGGGGACACCAUCAGUGUGACGUUCAGGAACAAGGCCAGCAGGAAUUAUGGGAUCCAGCCUCAUGGGCUCCACAUGGACAAGCUUGGCUCUGACGGUUUGGGCGGGGCUGGAGCCGAGGUGGGACCAGGGGAGACCUUCGUCUACGCCUGGCAGCUGCUGGAAGGCCCGUCUCCAUCAGACCCGGCCUGCAUCCCUUAUCUGUACUACUCCGGCACCGACCCUAUCAAAGACACCAGCUCGGGCUUAGUGGGACCCUUACUGGUCUGCAAGCAAGGGUCCCUGGGGAGCAGUGGAGUUCAGAAAGACGUGGACAAGGAGUUUUUCCUCCUCUAUUCCGUCAUGGACGAGAACGAAAGCUGGUACAUUGAUAAAAAUACAGAAACGUACGCCACUCUGCAAAGCCCAUUGACGGAACAAGAAGAGGAUGCGGAGGCAAUAACAGAGAGCAAUAGGAUGCAUGCGGUCAACGGCUUGGUGUACGGGAACCUUGGGGGUCUGGAGUUGUGUCAGGGGGAGCAGGUGGUGUGGUACAUCUUUGGCCUGGGCACCGAGGGGGACAUCCAUGGGGUCCACUUCGAGGGCAACAACUUCCAGAGGCAGAGCACCACCCGGGACACGGCCAACGUGUUCCCCCACACCACCGCCACCCUCACCAUGCAGCCGCAGGCGCUGGGUAUAUUCGAGGUGACCUGCAGAGUGACCACCCACUACAGUGCCGGGAUGAGGCACCAGUACCAGGUGGGCCGAUGCCCGGGACAAAAUGUGACUGCUUCAGCGCCUUGGAAAGCCACCAGGGUGGUCCCGUAUUUCAUCAGCGCUGAGGAGACCGAGUGGGACUACUUCCCCGACAGUACCUGGGAGCUAGAGAACCAUCCGGUGAACAGCCCCAGCCAUAUGUAUGUGGGAAAAGCACCAGAUCGAAUCGGGCCACGCUUCAAGAAGGUGGUCUACAGGGAGUACACAGACGAGACCUUCAGCACGCCGCGGGAACAACCGCAGCACCUAGGAAUCAUGGGUCCUUUGAUCAAAGCAGAGGUGGGCGAGCAGGUCCUGGUCAUGUUUAAGAACAAGGCAAGCCGGCCCUACUCCAUCCACGCCCAAGGCAUCCAGAGGUCCUCUCGCUUCCCGGGAGCCAACCCUGUCCAACCUGGCUUCAUCACCACCUUCGAGUGGGAUUUCCCAGAGAGCUCUGGUCCAGGGCCUUCAGAUCCUAACUGCGUCACCUAUGCCUACUUCUCCCCUGUGGAUUUCGUAAAGGACAUGAACAGUGGUCUUCUGGGACCCCUGGUGGUGUGCAGGCAGGGGUCUCUGCACAGGGGCACGGCGUCUGAGAGGGAGAGGAGGGACGUGGAGAAGGAGUUCGCUCUUCUCUUCAUGGUGUUUGACGAGAACCUGUCGUGGUAUUUGGACGACAACAUCUUAACUUACCUCGACCUAGCCGCGGACUCCGGCAUUAAGGAGGUGGAAGACUUUUACGAUGGCAAUAAAAAGUAUACUAUAAACGGCCUAACGUAUGGGAACUUGCGUGGGCUGGAGAUGACGAAGGGUCAGAGGGUGGACUGGUACCUCCUAGGCAUGGGGAAGGAUGUGGACAUCCACACCGUCCACUUUCAUGCUGAGACCUUCACCUACCGGAUGGACGGUACGCACCGCGCUGACGUGUUGGACCUCUUCCCCGGGACCUUCCAGACCGUGGAGAUGGUGGUGGACAACCCCGGCACCUGGCUGCUCCACUGUCAUCUCUCCGAGCACAUCCGCAUGGGCAUGGAGACCACCUACACCAUACAAGAUGUCUUAAGGCCUACAGAUGGCUUAGGGCCUAAGGAAUCGACGGCGGUGCAAACCAAAGGCUCUGGUGUUUUAGUUUCGCUCUGUCUUCUUCUAAUGCGAUGGAUUCCGACCUGGACACAAAAUCCUUAACUCUUUAACACUGUGUGGCCCAUGUUCUGACAAAGAGCUAGUGAAUCAAAAAUGUGCGAUACACUUUUAGAAUACAUAGAAGACAUUUAUGGUAUCGAGUUCGUACCUGAUUAAGUAAUCGAUAAGAUAACCUUUAUUAUUGUUUAAGUUUCGUAGCAUUCGAAUGAUAUUUGUCGCCAUCUAGUGGAUGCUUGGAGUAAAUCUAGGACAAGUUGGACAAAUAGAUUGUAGGCCCAUAUGUAACGAAGAAACAGACGGAUUUGAAGAGAAAUUGAAAUAAAUAGAUUUGAAAAAAAAGUUGUCUGCGAAACUAAAUUUGAAAAACAAAUGGGAAGCUAAAACAGGACAAUUGUGAACAUCUUGGAAGUUCCCCCUACAGCAGGGGGCAAGACCCAACACAGGGAAAAACAAGAGGGACGGCCACAGAAAAAUGGAAAGAGGGACAGCAUCUGGUUUAAGCUGCUUUACCUGGCCCGAGUCAGACUGAUUGGACUCUGGAGCUGGGUGAGGCUGAACACCUGUUGCACUUUAAGCCAUCAUUGGUACAGGUUAAACCAGCCAUCACCAGACACACUCAGUGAGAUCUCCUGCAUGGUAGCAUGGAGCACCAGGCCAUGUAUCGUAAUCUGAAAGCCAUACAAUGAACCAACAUCCAACACCAAUGCAUUGGUAGAUACGGUUAGCAACAUCACUCCUGUUUUCUUCUUUAGAAAUAUGUUCAUUUUAAGAAGUGAAUGGUUAGUUAUUUGUUUGUACAUGUUAUAAUCAUUGUUAUUAUAUAUUGUAUGAUUAUAUACUGCCUCUUCAUAACAUAUUGCAUAUUUGAAUAAGAGUGAGUGAUUGAAUACGGAAGCACUGUUUUUUUUUAUACACAGUACAAUACAUUUAUUUAUAAAAAAAAAAAAGAUUGUAGAAAUUCUGCUUCGCAAAGAAUGUAUUUACAGUUGAAGGCAGUGUUUUGAGGUUGCAAAUGGGAAUACAAUAAGAGAUUGGUGGAUAUUGUGUCCUUAUAUGUUCUAUAAAUAAAAUGUUAAAUAUCUAA